This 253-nucleotide ribosomal RNA is filed under the name uncultured bacterium. RNAcentral's name for it is "partial 16S ribosomal RNA". It matches the Rfam family "Bacterial small subunit ribosomal RNA", at positions 524 to 776 of the family's 1533-position model. The record is from RNAcentral.
UACGGAGGAUCCGAGCGUUAUCCGGAUUUAUUGGGUUUAAAGGGUGCGUAGGCGGACUGAUAAGUCAGCUGUGAAAGUUUGCGGCUCAACCGUAAAAUUGCAGUUGAAACUGUCAGUCUUGAGUGUACAUAAGGUAGGCGGAAUUCGUGGUGUAGCGGUGAAAUGCUUAGAUAUCACGAAGAACUCCAAUUGCGAAGGCAGCUUACCGGGGUACAACUGACGCUGAGGCACGAAAGCGUGGGUAUCAAACAGG